RNAcentral lists this ribosomal RNA (292 nucleotides) under uncultured bacterium. RNAcentral describes it as "partial 16S ribosomal RNA". It matches the Rfam family "Bacterial small subunit ribosomal RNA", at positions 505 to 796 of the family's 1533-position model. The record is from RNAcentral.
GUGUCAGCCGCCGCGGUAAUACAGAGGGUGCGAGCGUUGUCCGGAAUCACUGGGCGUAAAGGGCGCGUAGGUGGCGAGCCAAGUCCAUGGUGAAAGCUCGAUGCUCAACAUCGAGUCGGCCACGGAUACUGGUGCGCUUGAGCACUGUAGAGGCUAAUGGAAUUCCGGGUGUAGCGGUGGAAUGCGUAGAGAUCCGGAAGAACACCGGUGGCGAAGGCGGUUAGCUGGGCAGUUGCUGACACUGAGGCGCGACAGCGUGGGGAGCAAACAGGAUUAGAUACCCUCGUAGUCC